CCGACGCGGAUACCCUGGGGUCGUUUUUCCGGGCUCUGUUCGGGUGGUGACAGGAGCGCAGGUCUCUGCCCCAUGACGUACAGUCCCUUUCCACAGUGUCGGAAAUGAAGCCGGGGCCCUGAGUCCGCGCCUGCAUAAUCCUACUGCUUCUCAGAGUCCCUCAGACCGUGACUGAGGAGACAUGCAGGAAACAGUU
Small nucleolar RNA from Erinaceus europaeus (western European hedgehog), 196 nucleotides. Its record names the gene SNORA73. It matches the Rfam family "Small nucleolar RNA SNORA73 family". From Rfam's summary of the family: U17 (SNORA73A and SNORA73B) also known as E1 belongs to the H/ACA class of small nucleolar RNAs (snoRNAs). The record is from Ensembl. Lineage: Eukaryota; Metazoa; Chordata; Mammalia; Eulipotyphla; Erinaceidae.